This 208-nucleotide long non-coding RNA is filed under the name Carica papaya (papaya). RNAcentral's name for it is "long non-coding RNA (CPAP_LNC001421)". The record is from RNAcentral. Lineage: Eukaryota; Viridiplantae; Streptophyta; Magnoliopsida; Brassicales; Caricaceae.
UUUGUGUCACCACUCACAUCAGAGGGUACGCUAUCAUCCAUACGAAGCAGUUCUCUUACAUCUUUCCAAACCAGAUGGGGGAGGAAAAAAUAGAUAUCCCAGAUGGGAUUAGGGGAACAAAUAUCCCUCAGAGAUAAAAAAACCAAAUGAGAUACUUGAUGCAUUAUGCAUGUCAAUACAUAUGCAUACUUUGGACCAUUCAUGUUUC